This 1412-nucleotide ribosomal RNA is filed under the name Streptococcus thermophilus. RNAcentral describes it as "bacterial SSU rRNA". It matches the Rfam family "Bacterial small subunit ribosomal RNA". The record is from RNAcentral. Lineage: Bacteria; Bacillati; Bacillota; Bacilli; Lactobacillales; Streptococcaceae.
CAUGCAGUAGAACGCUGAAGAGAGGAGCUUGCUCUUCUUGGAUGAGUUGCGAACGGGUGAGUAACGCGUAGGUAACCUGCCUUGUAGCGGGGGAUAACUAUUGGAAACGAUAGCUAAUACCGCAUAACAAUGGAUGACACAUGUCAUUUAUUUGAAAGGGGCAAUUGCUCCACUACAAGAUGGACCUGCGUUGUAUUAGCUAGUAGGUGAGGUAAUGGCUCACCUAGGCGACGAUACAUAGCCGACCUGAGAGGGUGAUCGGCCACACUGGGACUGAGACACGGCCCAGACUCCUACGGGAGGCAGCAGUAGGGAAUCUUCGGCAAUGGGGGCAACCCUGACCGAGCAACGCCGCGUGAGUGAAGAAGGUUUUCGGAUCGUAAAGCUCUGUUGUAAGUCAAGAACGGGUGUGAGAGUGGAAAGUUCACACUGUGACGGUAGCUUACCAGAAAGGGACGGCUAACUACGUGCCAGCAGCCGCGGUAAUACGUAGGUCCCGAGCGUUGUCCGGAUUUAUUGGGCGUAAAGCGAGCGCAGGCGGUUUGAUAAGUCUGAAGUUAAAGGCUGUGGCUCAACCAUAGUUCGCUUUGGAAACUGUCAAACUUGAGUGCAGAAGGGGAGAGUGGAAUUCCAUGUGUAGCGGUGAAAUGCGUAGAUAUAUGGAGGAACACCGGUGGCGAAAGCGGCUCUCUGGUCUGUAACUGACGCUGAGGCUCGAAAGCGUGGGGAGCGAACAGGAUUAGAUACCCUGGUAGUCCACGCCGUAAACGAUGAGUGCUAGGUGUUGGAUCCUUUCCGGGAUUCAGUGCCGCAGCUAACGCAUUAAGCACUCCGCCUGGGGAGUACGACCGCAAGGUUGAAACUCAAAGGAAUUGACGGGGGCCCGCACAAGCGGUGGAGCAUGUGGUUUAAUUCGAAGCAACGCGAAGAACCUUACCAGGUCUUGACAUCCCGAUGCUAUUUCUAGAGAUAGAAAGUUACUUCGGUACAUCGGUGACAGGUGGUGCAUGGUUGUCGUCAGCUCGUGUCGUGAGAUGUUGGGUUAAGUCCCGCAACGAGCGCAACCCCUAUUGUUAGUUGCCAUCAUUCAGUUGGGCACUCUAGCGAGACUGCCGGUAAUAAACCGGAGGAAGGUGGGGAUGACGUCAAAUCAUCAUGCCCCUUAUGACCUGGGCUACACACGUGCUACAAUGGUUGGUACAACGAGUUGCGAGUCGGUGACGGCGAGCUAAUCUCUUAAAGCCAAUCUCAGUUCGGAUUGUAGGCUGCAACUCGCCUACAUGAAGUCGGAAUCGCUAGUAAUCGCGGAUCAGCACGCCGCGGUGAAUACGUUCCCGGGCCUUGUACACACCGCCCGUCACACCACGAGAGUUUGUAACACCCGAAGUCGGUGAGGUAACCUUUGGAGCCAG